This 200-nucleotide ribosomal RNA is filed under the name uncultured bacterium. RNAcentral's name for it is "partial 16S ribosomal RNA". It matches the Rfam family "Bacterial small subunit ribosomal RNA", at positions 1301 to 1500 of the family's 1533-position model. The record is from RNAcentral.
CAGUCUGCAACUCGACUACAUGAAGCUGGAAUCGCUAGUAAUCGCGGAUCAGAAUGCCGCGGUGAAUACGUUCCCGGGUCUUGUACACACCGCCCGUCACACCAUGGGAGUCGGAAAUGCCCGAAGUCUGUGACCCAACCUUAGGGAGGGAGCAGCCGAAGGCAGGUCGGAUGACUGGGGUGAAGUCGUAACAAGGUAAC